CAGUACCGUGAGGGAAAGGCGAAAAGAACCCCUGUGAGGGGAGUGAAAUAGAUCCUGAAACCGUAUACGUACAAGCAGUGGGAGCAGACUUGUUCUGUGACUGCGUACCUUUUGUAUAAUGGGUCAGCGACUUACUGUCAGUAGCAAGGUUAACCGUUUAGGGGAGCCGUAGGGAAACCGAGUCUUAAUAGGGCGUUUAGUUGCUGGGAGUAGACCCGAAACCGGGCGAUCUAUCCAUGGCCAGGUUGAAGGUUGAGUAACAUCAACUGGAGGACCGAACCCACGUAUGUUGAAAAAUGCAGGGAUGAGCUGUGGAUCGGAGUGAAAGGCUAAUCAAGCCCGGAGAUAGCUGGUUCUCCUCGAAAGCUAUUUAGGUAGCGCGUCAUGUCUCACCAUUGGGGGUAGAGCACUGUUUCGGCUAGGGGGUCAUCCCGACUUACCAACCCGAUGCAAACUCCGAAUACCUGUGAGUACUAUCCGGGAGACACACGGUGGGUGCUAACGUCCAUCGUGAAGAGGGAAACAACCCAGACCGCCAGCUAAGGUCCCCAAAUACCAGUUAAGUGGGAAACGAUGUGGGAAGGCUCAGACAGCUAGGAGGUUGGCUUAGAAGCAGCCAUCCUUUAAAGAAAGCGUAAUAGCUCACUAGUCGAGUCGGCCUGCGCGGAAGAUGUAACGGGGCUCAAACUGGUUACCGAAGCUGCGGCUGUGCACGCAAGUGCACGGGGUAGGGGAGCGUUCUGUAAGCCUGCGAAGGUGUGUCGAGAGGCAUGCUGGAGGUAUCAGAAGUGCGAAUGCUGACAUGAGUAACGACAAUGGGGGUGAAAAACCCCCACGCCGGAAGACCAAGGGUUCCUGCGCAACGCUAAUCGGCGCAGGGUGAGUCGGCCCCUAAGGCGAGACCGAAAGGUGUAGUCGAUGGGAAACGGAUUAAUAUUUCCGUACCUUGGAUAGCUGCGAUGGAGAGACGGAGAAGGCUAGGUGAGCCGGGCGACGGUUGUCCCGGUUUAAGCAUGUAGGCAGUGGGAUUAGGCAAAUCCGGUCCCACAAUGCCGAGACGCGACGACGACUGCCCUUUUAGGGCGGGAAGUCAUUGAUGCCCUGCUUCCAGGAAAAUCUUCUAAGCUUCAGGCUAUUCGAGACCGUACCCCAAACCGACACAGGUGGUCAGGUAGAGAAUACCAAGGCGCUUGAGAGAACUCGGGUAAAGGAACUAGGCAAAAUGGUGCCGUAACUUCGGGAGAAGGCACGCCGGUGGUAUGUGACGCCCUUCGCGGGUUGAGCAGAAGCCGGUCGAAGAUACCAGGCCCCUGCGACUGUUUAUUAAAAACACAGCACUGUGCAAACACGAAAGUGGACGUAUACGGUGUGACGCCUGCCCGGUGCCGGAAGGUUAAUUGAUGGGGUUAGCGCUUGCGCGAAGCUCUUGAUCGAAGCCCCGGUAAACGGCGGCCGUAACUAUAACGGUCCUAAGGUAGCGAAAUUCCUUGUCGGGUAAGUUCCGACCUGCACGAAUGGCGUAACGAUGGGGGCGCUGUCUCUACCCGAGACUCAGUGAAAUUGAAAUCGCCGUGAAGAUGCGGUGUAUCCGCGGCUAGACGGAAAGACCCCGUGAACCUUUACUAUAGCUUCACAGUGAACUUUGAGCAUGUUUGUGUAGGAUAGCUGGGAGGCUUUGAAACCAGGACGCCAGUUCUGGUGGAGCCAACCUUGAAAUACCAGCCUGACCUGUUUGAGGUUCUAACUUCGACCCCUUAUCGGGGUUAAGGACACUGUGUGGUGGGUAGUUUGACUGGGGCGGUCUCCUCCCAAAGCGUAACGGAGGAGCACAAAGGUGGGCUAAGCACGGUCGGACAUCGUGCGGUUAGUGUAAUGGCACAAGCCCGCUUAACUGCGAGACAGACACGUCGAGCAGGUACGAAAGUAGGUCAUAGUGAUCCGGUGGUUCUGUAUGGAAGGGCCAUCGCUCAACGGAUAAAAGGUACUCCGGGGAUAACAGGCUGAUACCGCCCAAGAGUUCACAUCGACGGCGGUGUUUGGCACCUCGAUGUCGGCUCAUCACAUCCUGGGGCUGAAGCCGGUCCCAAGGGUAUGGCUGUUCGCCAUUUAAAGUGGUACGCGAGCUGGGUU
Molecule: ribosomal RNA, 2130 nt
Filed under: seawater metagenome
Description: bacterial LSU rRNA
Rfam family: Bacterial large subunit ribosomal RNA
Source: RNAcentral